CCGCGCACCGACAGUACGAACACCGCCAGCGAACUGUUUUAGUGCUGAGGGGUAAAACGAACGCGGCGGCAUGUUUAACAUGCAAGUCGAACGGUAACAGGUCUUCGGAUGCUGACGAGUGGCGAACGGGUGAGUAAUACAUCGGAACGUGCCCGAUCGGGGGGGAUAACGCAGCGAAAGCUGUGCUAAUACCGCAUACUAUCUACGGAUGAAAGCGGGGGAUCGCAAGACCUCGCGCGGACGGAGCGGCCGAUGGCAUAUUAGGUAGUGGGUGGGAUAAAAGCUUACCAAGCCGACUAUCUGUAGCUGGUCUGAGAGGACGACCAGCCACACUGGGACUGAGACACGGCCCACACUCCUACGGGAGGCAGCAGUGGGGAUUUUUUGGACAAUGGGCGCAAGCCUGAUCCAGCCAUGCCGCGUGCAGGAUGAAGGCCUUCGGGUUGUAAACUGCUUUUGUACGGAACAAAAAACCUCUCUCUAAUACGGGGGGUGAAUGACGGUACCGUAAGAAUAAGCACCGGCUAACUACGUGCCAGCAGCCGCGGUAAUACGUAGGGUGCAAGCGUUAAUCGGUAUUACUGGGCGUAAAGCGUGCGCAGGCGGUUAUGUAAAACAGGAGGUGAAAUCCCCGGGCUCAACCUGGGAACUGCCUUUGUGACUGCAUAGCUGGAGUGCGGCAGAAGAGGGGGGUAGGAAUUCCGCGUUGUACCAGUUGAAAUGCCGUAAAUUUGGCGGAAGAACCCCCGGUGGGGCGAAAGGCCAUUCCCCUUGGGCCCUGCACUGACGCUCAUGCACGAAAGGCGUUGGGGGAGCAAACAAGGAUUAGAUACCCCUGGUAGUCCCACGCCCCUAAACGACGUCACCUGUGUGUUUGUUUUGGGUUUUUCAUUGAACUCAAUAAACGAGCUUAACGCGUGAGGUGGACCGCCUGAGGGAGUACGCCGGCAUGUAAUACUCAUGUAUCGACGGUACGCAACCGGGAGAAUGAUGUGAUUAAUUUCGAUGG
RNAcentral lists this ribosomal RNA (1009 nucleotides) under uncultured bacterium. RNAcentral's name for it is "bacterial SSU rRNA". It matches the Rfam family "Bacterial small subunit ribosomal RNA", at positions 1 to 957 of the family's 1533-position model. The record is from RNAcentral.